UACGUAGGGUGCAAGCGUUGUCCGGAAUUACUGGGCGUAAAGCGCACGUAGGCGGACUAUUAAGUCAGGGGUGAAAUCCCGGGGCUCAACCCCGGAACUGCCUUUGAUACUGGUAGUCUCGAGUCCGGAAGAGGUGAGUGGAAUUCCGAGUGUAGAGGUGAAAUUCGUAGAUAUUCGGAGGAACACCAGUGGCGAAGGCGGCUCACUGGUCCGGUACUGACGCUGAGGUGCGAAAGCGUGGGGAGCAAACAGG
RNAcentral lists this ribosomal RNA (253 nucleotides) under uncultured bacterium. Its description in RNAcentral is "partial 16S ribosomal RNA". It matches the Rfam family "Bacterial small subunit ribosomal RNA", at positions 524 to 776 of the family's 1533-position model. The record is from RNAcentral.